GGGGCUGAUUCUUCUGGAUUCGACGGGAUUUGCGAAACCCAAGGUGCAUGCCGAGGGGCGGUUUGCCUCGUAAAAAGCCGCAAAAAAUAGUCGCAAACGACGAUAAAUACGCACUGGCAGCUUAAUAACCUGCGCAAAGCCCUCUCUCUCCCUAGCCUCCUCUCUUAGGAUGGGAAUAAAGAGAGGUAAAACCUAAAAGAGAUCGCGUUGAUGCCUAGCCUGGGGUUAAAGCGUUAAACUUAAUCAGGCUAGUCUGUUAGUAGUGUGUCUGUCCACAGCUAGCUGGCGAAUGUAAAGACUAGACUAAGCAUGUAGUACCGAGGAUGUAGAAAUUUUGGACGCGGGUUCAACUCCCGCCAGCUCCACCA
Molecule: transfer-messenger RNA, 368 nt
Filed under: Enterobacteriaceae (enterobacteria)
Lineage: Bacteria; Pseudomonadati; Pseudomonadota; Gammaproteobacteria; Enterobacterales
Also listed under: 1 other name
Description: Arsenophonus sp902713415 Standard tmRNA
Rfam family: transfer-messenger RNA
About the family: Bacterial tmRNA, also known as 10Sa RNA or SsrA, is named for its dual tRNA and mRNA-like properties. Its role is to liberate the mRNA from a stalled ribosome.
Source: RNAcentral